CCACAAAGGGUGUUGGUCGAU
RNAcentral lists this small RNA (21 nucleotides) under Arabidopsis thaliana (thale cress). Its description in RNAcentral is "Ath_wt_17291". Lineage: Eukaryota; Viridiplantae; Streptophyta; Magnoliopsida; Brassicales; Brassicaceae. The record is from RNAcentral.